AGUGAACGCUGGCGGUAGGCCUAACACAUGCAAGUCGAACGGCAGCACAGGAGAGCUUGCUCUCUAGGUGGCGAGUGGCGGACGGGUGAGGAAUACAUCGGAAUCUGCCCAGUCGUGGGGGAUAACGUAGGGAAACUUACGCUAAUACCGCAUACGACCUUCGGGUGAGAGAGGGGGAUCGCAAGACCUCUCGCGAUUGGAUGAGCCGAUGUCGGAUUAGCUAGUUAGCGGGGUAAUGGCCCACCAAGGCGACGAUCCGUAGCUGGUCUGAGAGGAUGAUCAGCCACACUGGAACUGAGACACGGUCCAGACUCCUACGGGAGGCAGCAGUGGGGAAUAUUGGACAAUGGGCGCAAGCCUGAUCCAGCCAUACCGCGUGGGUGAAGAAGGCCUUCGGGUUGUAAAGCCCUUUUGUUGGGAAAGAAAUCUUUCAGGCUAAUACCCUGGGAGGAUGACGGUACCCAAAGAAUAAGCACCGGCUAACUUCGUG
RNAcentral lists this ribosomal RNA (490 nucleotides) under uncultured bacterium. Its description in RNAcentral is "partial 16S ribosomal RNA". It matches the Rfam family "Bacterial small subunit ribosomal RNA", at positions 29 to 507 of the family's 1533-position model. The record is from RNAcentral.